This 529-nucleotide unclassified non-coding RNA is filed under the name uncultured Bartonella sp. Its description in RNAcentral is "partial 16S-23S ribosomal RNA intergenic spacer". The stretch from base 83 to 156 matches the Rfam family "tRNA". Lineage: Bacteria; Pseudomonadati; Pseudomonadota; Alphaproteobacteria; Hyphomicrobiales; Bartonellaceae. The record is from RNAcentral.
AAAAGGGGCUUUAAGGAAAAAGAGCUUUAAAAAAGCUUUUCCGUAAGAUAAUGCCGGGGAAGGUUUUCCGGUUUAUCCCGGAGGGCUUGUAGCUCAGUUGGUUAGAGCGCGCGCUUGAUAAGCGUGAGGUCGGAGGUUCAAGUCCUCCCAGGCCCACCAUUUUGUAUCAAUCUAUAAGCGCUUGUAGAACUUUCUUCUAUAAGGCUUUCUUGUAUAUUUAUAUGAAGCUUAUCUACGAAGAAGUUUCCUUAUCAAAAUGUGAAGUUUCUUUCCUUUGCUUAAGCAAUCGGGAGUUAAAGCGGUUCAAACGAACAGUGAUCCCAUAAAGGGUAAUGUUGAAUUGAAAAAUCUCAUUUACAAGUUUUGAACCUUUUCUCUUUAUUUAGGGGCCGUAGCUCAGCUGGGAGAGCACCUGCUUUGCAAGCAGGGGGCCAUCCGGUUCCAACUCGAAUUUAAAAGUCUCGAACGCUUUAUCCUUCUUUGGGGGCCGUAGCUCAGCUGGGAGAGCACCUGCUUUGCAAGCAGGGGG